Small nucleolar RNA from Sebastes umbrosus (honeycomb rockfish), 78 nucleotides. RefSeq annotates it as small nucleolar RNA SNORD83. The transcript has a single exon. The record is from RefSeq and is a predicted model, not a curated record. NCBI's taxonomy places the organism in Eukaryota, Metazoa, Chordata, Actinopteri, Perciformes, Sebastidae.
GCCACAUGAUGAGCUGUGUAGCUGCAGUAGCCUUCUGGGCCGUGAUGACCUGCUAUCUAUCACCCUUCUCUGAUGGCU